AGCGAACGCUGGCGGCAGGCUUAACACAUGCAAGUCGAGCGGACCUUUCGGGGUCAGCGGCGGACGGGUGAGUAACGCGUGGGAACGUGCCUUCCGGUUCGGAAUAACCCUGGGAAACUAGGGCUAAUACCGGAUACGCCCUUAUGGGGAAAGGUUUACUGCCGGAAGAUCGGCCCGCGUCUGAUUAGCUAGUUGGUGGGGUAACGGCCUACCAAGGCGACGAUCAGUAGCUGGUCUGAGAGGAUGAUCAGCCACACUGGGACUGAGACACGGCCCAGACUCCUACGGGGGGCAGCAGUGGGGAAUAUUGGACAAUGGGCGCAAGCCUGAUCCAGCCAUGCCGCGUGAGUGAUGAAGGCCUUAGGGUUGUAAAGCUCUUUUAUCCGGGACGAUAGUGACGGUACCGGAGGAAUAAGCCCCGGCUAACUUCGUG
RNAcentral lists this ribosomal RNA (433 nucleotides) under uncultured bacterium. Its description in RNAcentral is "partial 16S ribosomal RNA". It matches the Rfam family "Bacterial small subunit ribosomal RNA", at positions 29 to 507 of the family's 1533-position model. The record is from RNAcentral.